UGUUCAGCGUAGGCCGGCAUCGGUUGCCCACGAACAUUCAGCGAGGCGUCCGGCUGCGCCUCAGAUCGAAUUCGAGGAGAUCAUCAUGAUGCGUAAACUCAUUCUCGCAUGCGCAGCAGUCACAGCUCUCGGCGCGGCUGCNGCUGCAUUCACUCCGUCCACUGCUUCCGCCCAUGGAUGGCAUGGCGGAUACGGCUGGCACG
RNAcentral lists this unclassified non-coding RNA (203 nucleotides) under Hevea brasiliensis (rubber tree). The record is from RNAcentral. Lineage: Eukaryota; Viridiplantae; Streptophyta; Magnoliopsida; Malpighiales; Euphorbiaceae.